This 478-nucleotide ribosomal RNA is filed under the name uncultured bacterium. Its description in RNAcentral is "partial 16S ribosomal RNA". It matches the Rfam family "Bacterial small subunit ribosomal RNA", at positions 28 to 507 of the family's 1533-position model. The record is from RNAcentral.
GAUGAACGCUGGCGGCGUGCCUAACACAUGCAAGUCGAACGGAGUCCAGCCUUUAAGACCUUCGGGUCAAAGAGGGGAAGACUGAGUGGCGGACGGGUGAGUAACACGUGGGCAACCUGGCUCAUAGAGGGGGAUAACAGAGAGAAAUUUCUGCUAAUACCGCAUAAGCACACACUGCCGCAUGGCAGAGGGUGAAAAGAGAAUUGCUAUGAGAUGGACCCGCGUCUGAUUAGCCAGUUGGCAGGGUAAGAGCCUACCAAAGCGACGAUCAGUAGCCGAUCUGAGAGGAUGAACGGCCACAUUGGGACUGAGACACGGCCCAAACUCCUACGGGAGGCAGCAGUGGGGGAUAUUGCACAAUGGGGGGAACCCUGAUGCAGCGACGCCGCGUGAGUGAAGAAGUAUUUCGGUAUGUAAAGCUCUAUCAGCAGGGAAGAUAAUGACAGUACCUGAAUAAGAAGCCCCGGCUAACUACGUG